RNAcentral lists this ribosomal RNA (518 nucleotides) under Ceratitis colae. RNAcentral's name for it is "partial 16S ribosomal RNA". The stretch from base 390 to 518 matches the Rfam family "Bacterial large subunit ribosomal RNA", at positions 2473 to 2601 of the family's 2925-position model. Lineage: Eukaryota; Metazoa; Arthropoda; Insecta; Diptera; Tephritidae. The record is from RNAcentral.
GUCUUUUUGAGUUAUUUUAAAAGUCUGACCUGCCCACUGAAUAUUUUAAAUGGCCGCAGUAUUCUAACUGUGCAAAGGUAGCAUAAUCAUUAGUCUUUUAAUUGAAGGCUGGUAUGAACGGUUGGACGAAGUAUAAGCUGUUUCAUAUAAAAUUGUAUUAGAAUUUUAUAUUUUAGUUAAAAAGCUAAAAUAUUAUUAAAAGACGAGAAGACCCUAUAAAUCUUUAUAUUUAAUAUUAUUCAAAUUUUUUUGAUUAAUUUUAUUUUUAUUAUAUUAAAUAUUUUGUUGGGGUGAUAUUAAAAUUUAACAAACUUUUAAUUGUGAAUUAAAACAUUAAUUUAUGAAUAAUUGAUCCAUUAUUAGUGAUUAUAAGAUUAAGUUACUUUAGGGAUAACAGCGUAAUUUUUUUUGAGAGUUCAUAUCGACAAAAAAGUUUGCGACCUCGAUGUUGGAUUAAGAUAUAUAUUUAGGUGUAGCUGUUUAAAUAUUAAGUCUGUUCGACUUUUAAAUUCUUACAU